GUGUGCAGUAAAGGAACACACCAGCAUUUCUGCAUGUUGUAGAUCUACAUAGAACCGUUGGUUAGAUUGUUACUGUGCUUCUGUGUUCACUUUGGUCAAAGUUGUGUUGCUGUUGCAUCAAAUUACAAGGGGUCAGUCUGCGUCAUAGCAACCAUGCCAGAAAAACAUAACAUAGUGCUGGGCGGUACACUGUUCAUAACGUCAUGCAUGAUAUAUUUUUUUCAAAUACAGACCCCCCCACCCCCACGGCCUUUCAUUGAGAUAUGCAUUAUAUGAGCUGUAUUUACUCAAUGCUUCCUGACUAAGUCUCAUCAACUGACCAUAUUUGUUACUAAUUUGUAAUUCAAAAUUUCACACAGACAAACAGCAUGCUGGGAUAUGCUGGCCAGGCAGGUAAGCACAGCAGGGUGCUAACAGCGGGAGGUGCUCUGUGCAGGCUGUACGGUCAGGAGCAGCUGAGACAGAGCGAGGAUGAAGAAAAGAACAACAACAACAACAACAAAAAAAACAGCAAAGAUGACCCAGAGAGGAUCUGCUGUUUUUCCUGGUCUCUGCACUGUGGGCAGGGAUGCUCCACACACAGUGACAUGGAUAAUGUGCUACUUGAGGUAAGAGUGUUUUUCCUGAUGGCUGAAUCAUUUCCCCCACAAAGUUCGGAGAAUAAGUCCAAACAGACUUUCUUAAAGCUCAUGACCCACAACAUGUUGAUUUUGUUACAAACAGGGACAAAAAAAUAAAAAAGUGGAAACACAUCUCAUGUAAAACUUCCUGUUCUGCUUUAAGGACUGACUCCCUGUGACACAGCAUAGGACAACAGAGAUUGUUUCGGGUGUGUGUGUGUUUAGGGUUUUAUACUCCUGACAGAAGAACGAGCUGCUGUAGUUCUACAUGAAGACCCACUGGGACAACCCUGAAACUGAAUCUCACCGUCAUACCGCCCAGCACUACAUGCAAAAACCCAAAAAGGAAUCCUGAAGGUCACAGUGUUCAGAAUUACAAAAAGCAGAUCAUGAUCACGGCAGUUCAUUAAAAAGAAACAUGUUUUCAGGAAAACGUGAAGGAAAUUAAUCUUGA
Oreochromis aureus is the source of this 1074-nucleotide long non-coding RNA. The record is from Ensembl. NCBI's taxonomy places the organism in Eukaryota, Metazoa, Chordata, Actinopteri, Cichliformes, Cichlidae.